UUAAGUUAUUAAGGGCGCACGGUGGAUGCCUUGGCACUAGAAGCCGAUGAAGGACGUUACUAACGACGAUAUGCUUUGGGGAGCUGUAAGUAAGCUUUGAUCCAGAGAUUUCCGAAUGGGGAAACCCAGCAUGAGUUAUGUCAUGUUAUCGAUAUGUGAAUACAUAGCAUAUCAGAAGGCACACCCGGAGAACUGAAACAUCUUAGUACCCGGAGGAAGAGAAAGAAAAUUCGAUUCCCUUAGUAGCGGCGAGCGAAAUGGGAAGAGCCCAAACCAACAAGCUUGCUUGUUGGGGUUGUAGGACACUCUAUACGGAGUUACAAAGGACGACAUUAGACGAAUCAUCUGGAAAGAUGAAUCAAAGAAGGUAAUAAUCCUGUAGUCGAAAAUGUUGUCUCUCUUGAGUGGAUCCUGAGUACGACGGAGCACGUGAAAUUCCGUCGGAAUCUGGGAGGACCAUCUCCUAAGGCUAAAUACUCUCUAGUGACCGAUAGUGAACCAGUACCGUGAGGGAAAGGUGAAAAGCACCCGGAAGGGAGUGAAAUAGAACCUGAAACCGUGUGCUUACAAGUAGUCAGAGCCCGUUAAUGGGUGAUGGCGUGCCUUUGUAGAAUGAACCGGCGAGUUACGAUUUGAUGCAAGGUUAAGCAGUAAAUGUGGAGCCGUAGCGAAAGCGAGUCUGAAUAGGGCGUUUAGUAUUUGGUCGUAGACCCGAAACCAGCGAUCUACCCUUGGUCAGGUUGAAGUUCAGGUAACACUGAAUGGAGGACCGAACCGACUUACGUUGAAAAGUGAGCGGAUGAACUGAGGGUAGCGGAGAAAUUCCAAUCGAACCUGGAGAUAGCUGGUUCUCUCCGAAAUAGCUUUAGGGCUAGCCUCAAGUGAUGAUUAUUGGAGGUAGAGCACUGUUUGGACGAGGGGCCCUCUCGGGUUACCGAAUUCAGACAAACUCCGAAUGCCAAUUAAUUUAACUUGGGAGUCAGAACAUGGGUGAUAAGGUCCGUGUUCGAAAGGGAAACAGCCCAGACCACCAGCUAAGGUCCCAAAAUAUAUGUUAAGUGGAAAAGGAUGUGGCGUUGCCCAGACAACUAGGAUGUUGGCUUAGAAGCAGCCAUCAUUUAAAGAGUGCGUAAUAGCUCACUAGUCGAGUGACACUGCGCCGAAAAUGUACCGGGGCUAAACAUAUUACCGAAGCUGUGGAUUGUCCUUUGGACAAUGGUAGGAGAGCGUUCUAAGGGCGUUGAAGCAUGAUCGUAAGGACAUGUGGAGCGCUUAGAAGUGAGAAUGCCGGUGUGAGUAGCGAAAGACGGGUGAGAAUCCCGUCCACCGAUUGACUAAGGUUUCCAGAGGAAGGCUCGUCCGCUCUGGGUUAGUCGGGUCCUAAGCUGAGGCCGACAGGCGUAGGCGAUGGAUAACAGGUUGAUAUUCCUGUACCACCUAUAAUCGUUUUAAUCGAUGGGGGACGCAGUAGGAUAGGCGAAGCGUGCGAUUGGAUUGCACGUCUAAGCAGUAAGGCUGAGUAUUAGGCAAAUCCGGUACUCGUUAAGGCUGAGCUGUGAUGGGGAGAAGACAUUGUGUCUUCGAGUCGUUGAUUUCACACUGCCGAGAAAAGCCUCUAGAUAGAAAAUAGGUGCCCGUACCGCAAACCGACACAGGUAGUCAAGAUGAGAAUUCUAAGGUGAGCGAGCGAACUCUCGUUAAGGAACUCGGCAAAAUGACCCCGUAACUUCGGGAGAAGGGUGCUCUUUAGGUUAACGCCCAGAAGAGCCGCAGUGAAUAGGCCCAAGCGACUGUUUAUCAAAACACAGGUCUCUGCUAAACCGUAAGGUGAUGUAUAGGGGCUGACGCCUGCCCGGUGCUGGAAGGUUAAGAGGAGGGUUAGCUUCUGCGAAGCUACGAAUCGAAGCCCCAGUAAACGGCGGCCGUAACUAUAACGGUCCUAAGGUAGCGAAAUUCCUUGUCGGGUAAGUUCCGACCCGCACGAAAGGCGUAACGAUUUGGGCACUGUCUCAACGAGAGACUCGGUGAAAUCAUAGUACCUGUGAAGAUGCAGGUUACCCGCGACAGGACGGAAAGACCCCGUGGAGCUUUACUGUAGCCUGAUAUUGAAAUUCGGCACAGCUUGUACAGGAUAGGUAGGAGCCUUUGAAACGUGAGCGCUAGCUUACGUGGAGGCGCUGGUGGGAUACUACCCUAGCUGUGUUGGCUUUCUAACCCGCACCACUUAUCGUGGUGGGAGACAGUGUCAGGCGGGCAGUUUGACUGGGGCGGUCGCCUCCUAAAAGGUAACGGAGGCGCUCAAAGGUUCCCUCAGAAUGGUUGGAAAUCAUUCAUAGAGUGUAAAGGCAUAAGGGAGCUUGACUGCGAGACCUACAAGUCGAGCAGGGUCGAAAGACGGACUUAGUGAUCCGGUGGUUCCGCAUGGAAGGGCCAUCGCUCAACGGAUAAAAGCUACCCCGGGGAUAACAGGCUUAUCUCCCCCAAGAGUUCACAUCGACGGGGAGGUUUGGCACCUCGAUGUCGGCUCAUCGCAUCCUGGGGCUGUAGUCGGUCCCAAGGGUUGGGCUGUUCGCCCAUUAAAGCGGUACGCGAGCUGGGUUCAGAACGUCGUGAGACAGUUCGGUCCCUAUCCGUCGUGGGCGUAGGAAAUUUGAGAGGAGCUGUCCUUAGUACGAGAGGACCGGGAUGGACAUACCUCUGGUGUACCAGUUGUCGUGCCAACGGCAUAGCUGGGUAGCUAUGUGUGGACGGGAUAAGUGCUGAAAGCAUCUAAGCAUGAAGCCCCCUCAAGAUGAGAUUUCCCAACUUCGGUUAUAAGAUCCCUCAAAGAUGAUGAGGUUAAUAGGUUCGAGGUGGAAGCAUGGUGACAUGUGGAGCUGACGAAUACUAAUCGAUCGAAGACUUAAUCAA
Molecule: ribosomal RNA, 2910 nt
Filed under: Staphylococcus aureus
Lineage: Bacteria; Bacillati; Bacillota; Bacilli; Caryophanales; Staphylococcaceae
Description: bacterial LSU rRNA
Rfam family: Bacterial large subunit ribosomal RNA
Source: RNAcentral